AGAAGAACCUGCUCUAACAUGGGAGAGGCCAGGGAGCAGCCUUGGCCUCUGUUUCUAACACCAUUCAAAACUUCUCUCUAAAUCUACUUUGGAUUACAGGGCCUAUCAGUUUAUCUUCAGCUGUGCACAGACAGAUAGAAGCCAUCAACAGAGAUUCACAUAUGCUGAGUUUACCACAUCUUAGGAGCAGACAGCUUCUUUAUGAUGAGUUGGAUGAAGUAAACCCACGUCUUCGAGAACCCCAAGAGCUCUUUUCCAUUUUGUCUACCAAGAGGCCACUGCAGGCUCCAAGAUGGCCAAUUGAAUGUGAGGUCAUCAAGGAAAACAUUCAUCAUAUUGAGUGGGCUCCACCUCAACCAGAAUAUUUCUAUCAGCCUAAAGGAAAUGAAAAGGUACCAGAGAUUGUAGGAGAGAAAAAAGGAACAGUUGUCUAUCAGUUAGAUUCAGUGCCUACAGAAGGUUCCUAUUUUACCAGUUCCAGAGUGGGAGGCAAACGAGGAAUUAUCAAGGAACUUGCUGUCACGUUGCAAGGACCAGA
This 538-nucleotide small RNA is filed under the name Pan troglodytes (chimpanzee). RNAcentral's name for it is "processed transcript". Lineage: Eukaryota; Metazoa; Chordata; Mammalia; Primates; Hominidae. The record is from RNAcentral.